This 217-nucleotide ribosomal RNA is filed under the name uncultured bacterium. RNAcentral describes it as "partial 16S ribosomal RNA". The record is from RNAcentral.
AACGGGGGGGGACAAGCGUUAUUCGUCAGGACUGGGUGUAAAGGAUCUGUAGAUUGCCUUGAGAUAGUUUGGAAACGAAACGCUUUAGGCUCAACCUUUUGAGGUUUCCUCACAACACACUCUUGAGCUUUGAGUUAUAUGGGAGGUUAAAAGUACUUUAACUUGAAAGGUAGAAUUUGUCGACAGUUAUAAGGACUACCAUUUGGCGAAAGGCAUU